This is a long non-coding RNA of Zea mays, 3149 nucleotides long. RefSeq lists it as uncharacterized. NCBI's taxonomy places the organism in Eukaryota, Viridiplantae, Streptophyta, Magnoliopsida, Poales, Poaceae. The transcript has 3 exons. The record is from RefSeq and is a predicted model, not a curated record.
GAAAAUAAAUAGUAAUAGAGUCUGGUCCUAAUCUGAUUUGGUCCUUAAAAUUUAUAUUUUAAAACAUAGAGGCCAUUACACCACUAGUUGUAUAUGCCUUAGACUUUAUAGUUAUAUAGAGUUUUUUUACUACACUGUGGUCAUGGUCAUGGUCAUGGUCAUGGUCAUGGUCAUGGUCAUGGUCAUGGUCAUGGUCAUGGGGUCAGACAGACCAAGAGCUGAGAAACCGUGUUUGUUUUGACUUUUGAGCCAGCAGUCCGCCCCCUAGUCGCGGAGCCAUUGGUAAUUUUGCCAUUAUCAUUUGUGGGCUUCGCCAGUAUGCCAUCGGACCCACAAAUCAUAGACACAGACGGUCCCACCAGUCAUAGACACGGGAUGGCAUAAUAACAGAUAGCCAAAAUUGAGAGUGGCAAAAUAGCAAAUUUCUCCUAGUCGCGCUAGUCUUCUUCACGCCAAAUGGCUGUUGGCUGGUUUUCCAUCUUAUCUGUAUGUACAGAGCUCCUGCAGUCAGUCUGGGGCCAGGCGACGCGCUAAACACGCACGCCGCCUCCGCCUCCGCCUCCUCGCUAUCCUAAUCCUCCCACUAAUCUGGACCAUGAUUGGUCCUCCACUCCAGGGCGACCCCUAAUCUCCGCAGAAUUCCCCGGACGCCGACCACGGUUUGCUCUGCCGGUGUCGCUUUCCACCCUGGAUUUGUGUGGAAGAGUCCUUUAUAUUUAGAAGAGACUUGAGAAUAAAUUGUUAUUCAAGACUAUAUAGAAGAAGAAGAAAAACCAUCUUUAUAUUUAAGAUAAAAUGAACAUCUCCCGUUGGAAGACAGUCUACCAGAGCGACAUCUCAACUCUACCUGGUCUCGAUCCCUAGCACGUACUAGCAAUAAUGGAUCAAUAACCGUAGCUAUAAUUUACUUCAUCACGUGACAAUGAUGCUUAGCUCUGCCUAGCUGCCUACAAUCGCUAGCUGCUAGUGCUACACUAUCUUCCGGGUUCUGACUUUUCCCAGUCGUUGUUGCCAUCGUCACACAAUCUCCCCUUUUUUUAAUCUUCAAGAGUCGACAAAACUUGACACUAACCACAUUUUUUUUGUACAUUUUGUUUUAUGUUUACCUUAUAAUAAAAAGGGGAUAAACAGAGGACUUCCAAUUCCACCAGCAUCACUGUACCAUGCAUGCCGUCUGGGCGCGGCUAUAUAAUACUACUUAAAAUAGAAAAAAAAGAAACUGAGGGGCAUGAAUGAAAUAAAAAAUGAACAACCUCUUCCAUGUGACAACGUGAGACCCAUCUGCGCAUCCAUGGCCUCUCGCCCUCUCCGGCUCUCCCCCCACACACAUGGCCGCCCCCAGCCAGAUCCAAACCAUUAUUCAUCACACCACACACAUCCUCUUCCAAGUCUUUUCUUUAUAUGUAUAUAUAUUAUAAAUAAAAUAUCAUUUAUAAUAGUUUCUUGUGCAGUGUAUUUAUACCAAACAAAAAAGUAAAAAAAAACACACAUAAAUUAAAAUUGCCGUGUAGUAACUGUAGCUCUAUGAGCGGCAGCAGCUGGACAAGUCCGCUGCAGCAGACGUGGGGUGGGGUGGGGGGGGUGGAAUAGGGCAUAAAUUAAAGAAGGCAACUAGCCGGGUCCGUGUCCCCUUCUGUUUCUGGGCUCCUGCCCCUGGCGCUUGGCGCUGGGAGUUCAUUGCAAAAAUAAUACGAAUCCUGCCUAUAAAUCUAUACUACUCCUAUAAGGGGCUAAGGAGGGCGUCCACAGGAUACCGUGCCCCCGCCCCUAUGGUCACUGCGCGCUCGAGACACCGCCCGCACGUGACACCGUGUGCAUGCCCGCCCCCACCCCUUCCCCAGCACGGUGCCCGUCAUCGGCGCCUCUUCUCCCGCCCCCAUCCUCCCCGGCCUCGGCGCCGCCUCCGCCCCUGUCCUCAACAACUCCGCGACUUCUCCGGGCACCGCUCGCACGCCAUCAGCGCCAUCCCCACUACCUCAACUUGCAUAUCGCGCGCCGCCAUCCACCUUGCCCAUCGUGUGUCGCAUGCCCAAAUCUCAUAUUUUUAUGCCCCACGCAGCCUAGGCCAUCCCACCGCAGAGCAGGAAAACCCUAGCGUACCCACGGACCAUUGCUGGCCCACAUGGCAUCCCGGCCUGUGGCCACAUCCAUCUCGGCGCCUCGCCCGCCACACCCAACACGCUGCACCGCCGCCGCCGCUUCUCCUCCCCCACCGCACCAUCGCCCUGAGUACCAUCGCACACGCCGCCGGGGCCGCAUCUCUCCCCGUUAGGGCCCAGCUGAACACUGUCGUCGCCUCCACCUCCGCGUUUGGGCCACCGCAAGAGUUCAGGGCUCCUCUAGGGUUCGAGAUCAAAUCCGGCCAGCAGAGCAGCAUCCUCAGCACCACGCUCACCAUCCCCCUCUACCUCGGCACCGGCGUCUUCACCCUCGGGUACACACCACGCCUUUUCUCACCAUCUGAGCAUUGCCAAGGAGCUCCUCUCCAUCCCCGAUGGCACCCUCGCCCCACCACCGACGACGAAUGGGCGCUUCAGAUUCCUGAUCAGCAGGAGAGUCGUUGAGGCUGAGACGACGACACGAAUGCGGCAAGGAGCUUCAGAUUCACUGCCAUUAGAAACUUGCAGGUAAGAAAUACUGUGGUGGUUUGGACCUCAGUUAUUGGCCAGAUGAAGGGCGGAGGCCAUUAUCAGAUCCUCGUCCACCUUUGGGCUACUGCUGAUAAGAGGACGAGUGUCGUACACCUCUCCAAUUCCCCCCUUCAAUGUGGUCAGUGUUGAAUCAUCUACGUCAUACAGUGAACAAGGGCAUACUGAUGAGAGAAGGGAUGACAUGGAUUUUUCUCAUUCGAGCAUCAGGUUUUGUGCGCUGAUUAUGGUGUGGUCGUUGGUGAGACUGCAACGUCCUCUGUAAUCAUCUCUCUGACAAGUUAGAUUAUGUGCUGAAAUUUCUGUUAUUUUUGUUGGAUUGUAUUGUUGUGAAAGGGGGCAUAGUACGAUGAAUUGGGGACUGAAAGAGCAUAGCAGAGCAGAGGGCCUAUGUAAUAUAAUUUUUUAUGUAUAAAUUGUGCAAAAACAAAUUACCUCUUUUGGGUUUCAAUCAUUUGACAACCCUUGGACCCUGACAUUAUAUUAGUUUACUUACCUUGA